This 170-nucleotide ribosomal RNA is filed under the name Symbiodinium sp. Mp. Its description in RNAcentral is "partial Bacterial large subunit ribosomal RNA". It matches the Rfam family "Bacterial large subunit ribosomal RNA", at positions 1792 to 1999 of the family's 2925-position model. Lineage: Eukaryota; Dinophyceae; Suessiales; Symbiodiniaceae. The record is from RNAcentral.
AAUGGUGUUUAUCGGGCGACUGUAUAGCAAAUACACAGGUUUUAGUUAAAGAUGUUUAGAUUUUAGAGCUGAUAUGUGACCAGCAUGCUCAACAUAAACGUUGGCCGUAACGAUAACGGUCCUAAGGUAGCGAAAUUCCUUGUCGGGUAAGUUCCGACCUGCACGAAUGG